AUGGACCUGAAUGCCCCUGUUCAGCUCCUUUGGCUCUUGCUCUGCUUUCCAGGUAUCAGAUGUGACAUCCUGAUGACCCAGUCACCAUCUUCCCUGUCUGUACCUCUGGGAGAAAGAGUCACUCUCAGUUGUCGGGCCAGUCAGGGCAUUAGCAAUUAUUUAAGCUGGUACCAGCAGAAACCAGAGAGACCUCCUAAGCCCCUGAUCUACCUUGCAUCCAACUUGGAAAAUGGAGUGCCAUCUAGGUUCAGUGGCAGUGGAUCUGGGACAGAUUUCACUCUCACCAUCAGCAGCCUAGAGUCUGAAGACACUGGAAUUUACUACUGUCUACAGACUAAUAGUCUUCCUCCCACAGUGAUACAAGUCAUAAUAUAA
Molecule: non-coding RNA, 375 nt
Organism: Microtus ochrogaster (prairie vole)
Lineage: Eukaryota; Metazoa; Chordata; Mammalia; Rodentia; Cricetidae
Source: the annotation of a RefSeq genome assembly